GCAGAUUCUCUACUGAACUGAACAAAGGAGUUCCCUCUGUACAGGUCAGCCCUCUGUGUUUUAGCUCAGCACUGAUUGCGGCAACUAAGGUGCUGGCAGUCAGAACUAUAGCUAGUUAAGGGGAUAAUUGGUGGUAGGAUUGUGAGGACAGAGGACCAGAGAGCUUUGUGAUCAUUUGUGUAAAGCUUGUUCAACCAGCAGCUAAACGUUUUGGUGUCCUUGCUCUAAGGAACAUUUUAUAUUACGGUGACCUUACAUUUAUGGCUUUUCCAGGUCAUUUGAGCCUUGUUUAGACCUGUGCCUUAAAAAUAAACAAACGUCAGAAAGAAAAUCAAUACCAUAGAUGGAAGAGUUCAUGCAUUUCAGAGUCUCAGAGAUGAGUGAUGGGUACGUGCUACCUCAUGCAGAAAAACUUCAUUGUUCUUGCUGCUGAUCAGAUUGGAGGAGGAUGCACUUCACGUUUCUGCUUGGGGCAGAACUGCUCCAAACAGUGAUAAACUCUGUGGUAUUCAAGAGAGGAGCUUCUGCCAACAUAGAGUGAGUGUUGUUUCAAGAAACAGUUUUGACCUGGGUGAUAGAACUAAAAUGAGGAAUUCUUUUCUCCACAAAAGACUGAGAACACAUGAGGUAACUGGCAAUUACUGGGAUUCAUUCAAAAUACAUUAUUUCAUACAUAAUAUAAUCAUGUGAAAUAUUGAAGAUAGAAUAGAAAAUGCUGUGAAGUGCAGGUGCUCUGUUUGUUUGUAGGUUGAGAUGUGUGUGUACAGAUAAAUAAGGUUUAGUUCAGGAACAGACAUUUUUAUAUACUGGAGUGUUUAGAAUUCAGACAAAGAAAUGUUCCAGUACUGGGUCCACGCGAGCAGAUAAGAGCCAGCAGUGCAGAGACAAGUUUGCUCUUUGCAGUAUGGAGCUAUACAGAAAUAACAAGGAGCUAGGUCUGGAUCAAGGCAGUAUAAAGCAGAGCUAGCCUGAGCUCAUUAGCCUGGGCGUAAUGCCAUGCUAAUAUAUCUACACAACUCCCCGAACCCGAGCUAAUGGCUCAGCAUGGUGCUAUACAGGGUACUCGCACCAGCUGGUGCAGGGAUUUCUGCAUUGUACAGUAUAAAUGUGCCAUAAGGUUUUCACACCAGCUCUGUAAAGAAAGCAAAAUGACUUAGGGGCAAGACAAGAUUCAAGACUUUGAAAACCAGAGAUGUUUAAAUCUGGGUUCCCAAAUCCCUGUUCAUACUUAUGAGG
RNAcentral lists this long non-coding RNA (1236 nucleotides) under Phasianus colchicus (ring-necked pheasant). Its description in RNAcentral is "lncRNA (ENSPCLG00000008119.1)". The record is from RNAcentral. Lineage: Eukaryota; Metazoa; Chordata; Aves; Galliformes; Phasianidae.